Molecule: ribosomal RNA, 253 nt
Filed under: uncultured bacterium
Lineage: Bacteria
Description: partial 16S ribosomal RNA
Rfam family: Bacterial small subunit ribosomal RNA
Source: RNAcentral
UACGUAGGGGGCAAGCGUUGUCCGGAUUCAUUGGGCGUAAAGAGCGUGUAGGCGGCCAGGUAGGUCGGUUGUGAAAACUGGAGGCUCAACCUUCAGAGGUCGACCGAAACCAUCUGGCUAGAGUCCGGGAGAGGAGAGUGGAAUUCCUGGUGUAGCGGUGAAAUGCGCAGAUAUCAGGAGGAACACCAAUGGCGAAGGCAGGUCUCUGGGCCACUACUGACGCUGAGAAGCGAAAGCAUGGGGAGCGAACAGG